GAAGCCAUCGUUUUCUCCCCUAAACUGAACACAACAGCAUCCAAUAUUCACAACCCACGAAAAUUCAUAUACCAAAACGUCAAAUUUAAUAAUCUAUACAAAAAUUUAAUUUAAUGAACCAAAUUAAGAGCAAGCAAUUUCAAUCACAAAAACAAAACCCCACAAAGACAGGAUAUAGCUACAAGGCUACCUACACGAGAAAAAAAAAGGUAGAAAAAUUCCUAAAAUCGAGACUCUGGAAAAAAAAUUGAACAAAAUGAAGAAUCCAAAAGGAGCUUACGUCUUGCAGAGAAG
RNAcentral lists this unclassified non-coding RNA (294 nucleotides) under Hevea brasiliensis (rubber tree). The record is from RNAcentral. Lineage: Eukaryota; Viridiplantae; Streptophyta; Magnoliopsida; Malpighiales; Euphorbiaceae.